GAAGAGAAAUGUGGCUUCUCUUCUCUUCUCUUCUCUUCCCCUCUCUUCUUUUUCAAUAAAUAAGUAAAGAGAACCAAAGAAUAAUCUGAUCAAUGAGAGGAAUGAAGGAAAUGAAAGGGCGGCGUAGUCUCGUGGAGGAGUUCUCACCGGCCUUUUGUGGACUCUGCACUGUUGGAGGAAUCCUCAGUGCUGGUACUGCUCACCUUGCUAUCACUCCUCUUGAUGUCUUGAAAGUCAAUAUGAAGUGAUUGUACAGCAUGAUGGGGGCAUUGAAGGUUCGACCAUCACAGGGUUUUGGUGGGGUUUAGUUCAUUCGUUUAACUGAAAUCGAUUAGGCUUUUCAUUCUGAAAAAGGGGGAGUAUAGAGCUUGUAUUGCUAGCUAUUAUUAGGAUUUUCCAUUUAGCGCAUACCGGCAUAGAGGAACUCUUCCUGAUCAUGUUCUCGAGGAUUUUAUGGUGGCCUAACGGGCCUACCUGUGGAGGGCUUGCCAGACAUCAGGAAGACACCGCCCUGUUAUCUUGAAGUCAGGAGAGUCUGAAACUGAAGUCCCAUUGAAUCAUUUUUCCCAGAUGUGAAAGAUAAAUCAUCCCGACUUGUGGUAUUUGAUGGUUUAGGUACUUAAAUUGUCAACAUUUGCCGAUGGAGAUGCACACAGAUGAUGUCUCCUUUUCUUAAUCCCAGCAUAAAAGUUGAAAGGCCAAUUUGGUUUCCAAAGAACAUAUUGACUGGUUUUGUCUUGGAUGAUCCCAGCGCGCAAU
Long non-coding RNA from Populus euphratica (Euphrates poplar), 759 nucleotides. RefSeq lists it as uncharacterized. Lineage: Eukaryota; Viridiplantae; Streptophyta; Magnoliopsida; Malpighiales; Salicaceae. The transcript has 3 exons. The record is from RefSeq and is a predicted model, not a curated record.